GCACAUGAGGGGUGGAGAGUUUAUGUGGAUGGAUAUAUAAUACACACAUAAAGUUGCAAAAAGUCUGAAGGAACCAAAUGAAGAGAAAAAUGGGUGAAAGAAAGAAAGGGCAAGAAAAUGGCAAGAAAACAAAAUUGGAGUGGCCACCCAUCAAACCCAAGUUUAAUCUCAACAUAACUCGCCUCAAAGACACAGAUCUCUUUACGGUGCGGAAUUUAUUCACGUCAGUUGAAUCAAAGGCAUUCAUUAAAGCUGCAGAAUUGAUUGGGUUUGUCCAUCAAGGGAGUCUUGGCCCAACAAAAGGCGAAGCUUAUAGAGACAAUGAUCGAAUAUCUAUGAAUGAUCCUGUGCUUGCAAAUACAAUAUGGGAAUCUGGACUCAACAAAUUAUGUUCUGAUUUUAAAAUACGAGGCAAAGUUGCGGUUGGGUUGAACCCAAAUAUCAGAAUCUACCGUUUUUUUCUUGUCAGGUAUAAGGUUGGUCAGCGUUUUGGACGGCAUGUUGAUGAAAGUGUUGAUCUUGGAGAGGGAAAGCGCACCCAUUAUACUCUUUUAAUAUAUCUUAGUGGUGGUUUUAAACCCAAACCUAAAAAUGAUAACAGCGACCCACAGGAUUCUUCUGAGCCUCUAAUUGGAGGAGAGACUGUCUUCUAUGGCCCAAGAAAUGGUGUUGUUGCUGAGGUGUCUCCCACUGAAGGGAUGGCUCUCCUUCACAUUCAUGGUGAUAAGUGUAUGCUGCAUGAAGCCCGAAAUGUAACAAAGGGUGUUAAGUAUGUGUUACGAUCAGAUGUAGCUUUUGCUUGAUCAGUGCAAGGCUUAAUCAGAUCAGAUCCAGCAACCUUGCUUUGUCUUCCAUGAUUUGGUGGUCUUUGAAACCCCCUAUAACAAAUUACUUUACCUCAGUAGGAGCAUUACUUUCUUCAUCCAGCUAUUCUAUUUUACAUAGAUAGUAUAUCAUGGAAGCACUACUUUUCCUAGAAGGGGAAGGAGACAAAGGAAGAGAAAAAGAAGAAAAGCUCUCAAAUUGGUUUGAGGAAGUGGCCACAGGCAUUCUUUGGUUGGAAAUAGUUGUAAGAUUUUUGGUGUGAAGAUAAAUGUCAUGAAGCAGUACAGCACACGACCUCUCUCUCUCUCUCUCUCAAAUGAAUUAGUGUAUGGGUUUGGGAGGUUGGCAAAUUAUUGGAGGGGUUUGUAAGGUUGCAAUGGUGGUGGGUUUUUACUGGCCAUGGUGGUGUUGCUGGAUCUACCAGCCACCAAAAUUGGUGACUGUGAAUUGAUUAUAUGGCAGUGUGGCUGUAGAUGUGAAGUGAUAGAUUGAGAGUGAGAUAGACAGUAGAGAGUGUUGUUUCCUUGAUGGAAAUGGCUUUGUGAGUGGUUUCUGUUGGUAGCACCAAUCAUGGCCAUGGAGGUUUCUUGUGGUUGUAGUGGCAACCAUUGGAGUAGCGGUGCUGACGAGUUAGGAGAGGGGAGAAGAUAGAGAAAAGGUGUUUUUUAGAGAUUGUGUAAAUUAAUUUAGUUGACUUUUGACCAUAAUGGUAUUUUUAAAAAUUUACAUAGUGACAUAAAA
Molecule: RNA transcript, 1566 nt
Organism: Camellia sinensis
Lineage: Eukaryota; Viridiplantae; Streptophyta; Magnoliopsida; Ericales; Theaceae
Gene name: 2-oxoglutarate (2OG) and Fe(II)-dependent oxygenase superfamily protein
Source: RefSeq, a predicted model, not a curated record